Long non-coding RNA from Lepus europaeus (European hare), 832 nucleotides. RefSeq lists it as uncharacterized. The transcript is spliced from 4 exons. NCBI's taxonomy places the organism in Eukaryota, Metazoa, Chordata, Mammalia, Lagomorpha, Leporidae. The record is from RefSeq and is a predicted model, not a curated record.
CUCCAUGCUGCAACUGGGGCGGGGACUAGGGAAUCCGCGCAGGCCGCGUCGAGUAGAUGGCAUUCUGCGCGGACACGCGAACUCGGCCUGCGAGGCGGCCACCGCUCCGCGUCCUCUCUGCGCUGCUUCCGGUCCGCCUGCUCCUGGCUCCGGGUGUGCCACCUCGUGCGCGGCCUUCAGUUCCGGGCAGAUCUGCCUGUUGAGCCCCUCACGUACUUUAGCCAUGGAGUCCUCUGCUACCCCUGUGUGGUCGGCAUAGAAACAACACUCCUCCCCAAGGCGGCACACAGUCCUCCCUGCUGUAGAAACAGCAAGUCCAUUCCUCGCCUAUUUUGGAGGACAACUUCCGACAGGAUCGGAGAGACUUGGCUAAGCCAGCGAUAGAUCGGCUGGGGCGGUGAGGCCUGGCACACAGCAGACGCUCAACAAAUGCUUGUGGAUUGAGUGUGUGAGGAGGAAGGCAUUGCCUAUGGGAGGACUCUGCAGAGGCUGAGCAUGAAGGCACCUAGGUCUCAGCCCCCCCAUUGCGUCUCGGCAGCAGUGCCUCGGGGAGAGGCCACGGGGAGAGUGGGAGGCCUGGCCUCCGAGAAGUAAGCUGCAGCCAGGGGGAGUGACUGGACCCGGGAAAGCAGAGCUAUGCCACGGGCAGCUGUAGGAAACCCAGGUCUGAGGUGAAGGUGCCGGGUGCAAAUCCAACUCCAGACCCACGGAAGUCACACAGCGCAACAUUAACCAGCGCCGGAGAAGGGACCACAGCUCCCGGGAAGUGUGAUCUGACAGCUGUGUGAGGACAAGCACAGAGAACGGAGCACAGGGACCCCCACCUUUGGUG